GCAAGUCGAGCGACGCAUACCGGAGGGGUAACCCACUGGUAUGACGGAGCGGCGAACGGGUGAGUAACACGUGAGUAACCUGCCCCACAGACCGGGACAGCCAGGGAAACCUGGAUUAAUACCGGAUAUCCUCGAAGGAUCGCAUGAUCUUCCGAGGAAAUGCCUUUGUGCUGUGGGAUGGGCUCGCGACUUAUCAGCUAGUUGGUGGGGUAACGGCCUACCAAGGCGUCGACGAGUAGCUGGUCUGAGAGGACGAUCAGCCACACUGGGACUGAGACACGGCCCAGACUCCUACGGGAGGCAGCAGCAGGGAAUCUUGCGCAAUGGGCGAAAGCCUGACGCAGCAACGCCGCGUGGGGGAUGAAGGCCUUCGGGUUGUAAACCCCUUUCAGGAGGGAAGAAAUUGACGGUACCUCCAAAAGAAGCACCGGCCAACUACGUGCCAGCAGCCGCGGUAAUACGUAGGGUGCGAGCGUUAUCCGGAAUCAUUGGGCGUAAAGAGCUCGUAGGCGGUUCAGUAAGUCGGCUGUGAAAUUUCGAGGCUCAACCUCGAAACUGCAGUCGAAACUGCUGUGACUCGAGUCCGGUAGAGGAGAAUGGAAUUCCCGGUGUAGCG
Molecule: ribosomal RNA, 616 nt
Filed under: uncultured bacterium
Lineage: Bacteria
Description: bacterial SSU rRNA
Rfam family: Bacterial small subunit ribosomal RNA
Source: RNAcentral